GAUCAUGGCUCAGAUUGAACGCUGGCGGCAGGCCUAACACAUGCAAGUCGAACGGUAACAGGAAGAAGCUUGCUCUUUGCUGACGAGUGGCGGACGGGUGAGUAAUGUCUGGGAAACUGCCUGAUGAGGGGGAUAACUACUGGAAACGGUAGCUAAUACCGCAUAACGUCGCAAGACCAAAGAGGGGGACCUUCGGGCCUCUUGCCAUCGGAUGUGCCCAGAUGGGAUUAGCUAGUAGGUGGGGUAACGGCUCACCUAGGCGACGAUCCCUAGCUGGUCUGAGAGGAUGACCAGCCACACUGGAACUGAGACACGGUCCAGACUCCUACGGGAGGCAGCAGUGGGGAAUAUUGCACAAUGGGCGCAAGCCUGAUGCAGCCAUGCCGCGUGUAUGAAGAAGGCCUUCGGGUUGUAAAGUACUUUCAGCGGGGAGGAAGGGAGUAAAGUUAAUACCUUUGCUCAUUGACGUUACCCGCAGAAGAAGCACCGGCUAACUCCGUG
Molecule: ribosomal RNA, 501 nt
Filed under: uncultured bacterium
Lineage: Bacteria
Description: bacterial SSU rRNA
Rfam family: Bacterial small subunit ribosomal RNA
Source: RNAcentral